GGGUAACCUGCCUGUAAGACUGGGAUAACUCCGGGAAACCGGAGCUAAUACCGGAUAGUUCCUUGAACCGCAUGGUUCAAGGAUGAAAGACGGUUUCGGCUGUCACUUACAGAUGGACCCGCGGCGCAUUAGCUAGUUGGUGGGGUAAUGGCUCACCAAGGCGACGAUGCGUAGCCGACCUGAGAGGGUGAUCGGCCACACUGGGACUGAGACACGGCCCAGACUCCUACGGGAGGCAGCAGUGGUCAUAGC
RNAcentral lists this ribosomal RNA (252 nucleotides) under Bacillus sp. 6(2016). RNAcentral describes it as "partial 16S ribosomal RNA". It matches the Rfam family "Bacterial small subunit ribosomal RNA", at positions 119 to 357 of the family's 1533-position model. Lineage: Bacteria; Bacillati; Bacillota; Bacilli; Caryophanales; Bacillaceae. The record is from RNAcentral.